This 253-nucleotide ribosomal RNA is filed under the name uncultured bacterium. RNAcentral's name for it is "partial 16S ribosomal RNA". It matches the Rfam family "Bacterial small subunit ribosomal RNA", at positions 524 to 776 of the family's 1533-position model. The record is from RNAcentral.
UACAGAGGGUGCGAGCGUUGUCCGGAAUUACUGGGCGUAAAGGGCGCGUAGGCGGCUUGGUAAGUCGGGGGUGAAAGUCAGCGGCUCAACCGCUGGACUGCCUUCGAGACUGCCUGGCUUGAGCAUGGUAGAGGCUGGCGGAAUUCCCGGUGUAGCGGUGGAAUGCGUAGAGAUCGGGAAGAACAUCGGUGGCGAAGGCGGCCAGCUGGGCCAUUGCUGACGCUGAUGCGCGACAGCGCGGGGAGCAAACAGG